CGAACGGGUGAGUAACGCGUAGGUAAUCUGCCCCUAUCUCCGGCAUAACAUCGAGAAAUCGUUGCUAAUUCCGGAUGAGGCACUUGUGUCAAAGUUUUACACGGAUAGGGAUGAGCCUGCGUCUGAUUAGCUUGUUGGUGGGGUAAUGGCCUACCAAGGCUGCGAUCAGUAGCUGGUCUGAGAGGACGAUCAGCCACACUGGAACUGAGACACGGUCCAG
RNAcentral lists this ribosomal RNA (220 nucleotides) under uncultured bacterium. Its description in RNAcentral is "partial 16S ribosomal RNA". It matches the Rfam family "Bacterial small subunit ribosomal RNA", at positions 99 to 334 of the family's 1533-position model. The record is from RNAcentral.